AACAAUAAUUUUCUGAUUUAGUAAAAUAAAUAAUCAUUGAGAGUUUAACAUAGAAAUUAUAGGUAGUUGAAGUCUUGAAGACACUAUUAAAAAUCCGCUGAAUAUUUAUUUUCAAUUACACUUCUAAUAAAUCAAUUUUAACUCGUGAAAAUUCGGUGAACAGUGAUGUGGCCACUGCGAAGACAACCAUCAGUCGUCAAAGUACAACGCCAUGACGACUGCACACCAGUCUCUGAAUUUUCGUUUUCGGUCACCUAAAACUUAAAACUACUUUAUAUCGUGGCUAAAUAGACUAGAUAUUUAGCCAUGCCUAAUACGUUAUACAAUAUAAAUACAACAAGUGGUAAUAACCAAUAGUGGAAUGUUAUUUGUACACAAAUAUAUGUUUACUCAUAUAAUAUUUGUUACAUAAAUGCGUGCAUUAACAUGAACAGCUCAGUUAAUGAAUUUGAUGAAAAUAAGGUGAAAUAUUAAGUAAAGAUUUAACAAGUAAUAAUUCAUCUCAAUACAACUGUCAACUAAAUGUCUCCCUAGCAGAUUUCCAGAAUUUCAUUACAAUUAACAGUCGAUGAAUUUGCUUCUAGAAUGGAAUUUAGAAUCAGUAUACACAUCUUGUAUAGUUCCUAUUAUUCAAAACAUUGCUAGUCAAACGAUGCCAUAUCAAAAAACACAGUAUUUCAGUCCUAAUGAGGUUAAAUACUUAACAAAUAAUAAUGUUUUGAACAAAAGUUCAUAUGUUGAUGGGAUAUUGUUUGUGACAUAAUCAAAAAUGGCUCUGCAAUGACAGUUUUAUAGUAUUCUAUAGCCAGUACAAUUUGUUGGAACUUUUCAUUCUUAAAUCAAGGAUAUACAUUUUAGUAAUGAUGCCUUGAAUGUUUUAACACCAUUUGAACAAUGACACAAUGUGGAUGAAAAUUAUGGAUUUAUUUGGUUGAUAUUGAUAUCCAAAGAAAAUAUACAGGCAAUACUAAUUUAAAUUCAACUUUUGAAAAAUCAUUCAAUAUUACGCUUCACGAUUUGACGCCAGAUAGAUAUUGACUUAAACAGAAAUCAGAAUAUAUUAUACAAAUUUAACAAGUGUCUUUAAAAGGCAUUAAAAUAUUGGAUGAAUGGAUAAAUAAUAAUGGCAACACACCAGAUUUAACCAAUAAUUCAAUUAAUAAGAUAAUUAUAUACUCGUUACAUAGUCUGCUAAUUCCUUGAUCAAAAAAAUUAACAUGAGAAGAGAAUGCGAAAAAAUACUAUGUAUAAUAUGGAAUGAAUGAUUCCUCAAAUGCAAUCGUAAAAUCUAAGCAAACACGAUUGGAUAUGGAAGCACUUUUAAAUAAACGUUGCAGAAAGAGAAUCCCAUGUAUAGAUAAUAUUUUAAGAAUGGAUAAGCUACCGGAACUUAAAACCUCUUGCUGGAGUGAGAGCACUAUAUAAAAGCAGUCAUUCUCUCAUCCAUACUCCGGACCACGACCCCUUAUUUUGUUAAAAUAGGAAUGGUCUAUCCAUUCUUAUAUUAUCUAUAGUCCUAUCCAGCCAUGUAUAUUAAUUU
Molecule: long non-coding RNA, 1540 nt
Filed under: Acyrthosiphon pisum (pea aphid)
Lineage: Eukaryota; Metazoa; Arthropoda; Insecta; Hemiptera; Aphididae
Description: uncharacterized LOC100573903, transcript variant X2
Source: RNAcentral